UUAACUUAUUCUAUUUUUUUAACAGAACUUGCAGACAAAUUCAAUAUAAAGAUGCUGGAAUAUGAGUUUAAAGAAAUAAUAAUAUAAACCUGUCGCUAUCACAUAAAUAUGAUCAUAACUCGGUUGGUCCCUUUCACUUUACACUGUUAAGGUAGCGUCAGUGCUUCGUUAUCCAAUCCGUUCCAGUUGUUCACAGGGAACAUCACAUUACUGAAAAUCCAGUCCUCGUUUUCACUGCUACUUUACACUCCGCUCGUCUACACCUGCGGACACACUAGCGUACAUGCUGCAAACAGCAAGAAAACAUGGAUAUACGUAAAAAAGAGUCAGACCAGAGGAGCACAGAGAGUGAGAGGGGAGAGACCUCUGCUGGAGAGGGUGAGGCAGAAGGAGAGGCUGAGGGAGAAAAAGGUCAACAGGCAAGUUCAAGUCAGAGAGAGCAAGGAGAGACAGAGGAGCUGCAGCAAAUGGAUCGAGAGGCAGAGGAAGAUCAAGUUAUUACAGAGAGAGGAGAGCAAACAGGCCAAGAGAGGGAAAAUGAUGAAGCAGCUGCAGCAACUCAUUCUACUACAGGGUUUGAUUUAGGUACAGGUGAAGCUGAAGAGCUAUCCACAUGAUACUUUUGGUACACAGAAGCGAGCAUUUAACCACAGCUGGUUUGAAAAGCACAACUGGUUAGAAUAUUCAGUCAACCAGAAUGCAGCUUUCUGCUUCCCAUGUAGAGUGUUUGGCAAAAACAUCAAACAUGAUAGUUUGGUCAGUGAUGAAGGUGAAGACAGCCCAAACAGAGCUUUUACGUGCGGAGCUUUUAAAGGAGUUUGAUCCUUUUCUUCAAAAACAUAAUCCCCCAUCAAAUGCACAGUAUUUCUUGCCAACAUCCCAGAAUGACACGAUUGACUGUUGUGCCCAGGAAGUUGCUCAUGUCAUUGUAUCUGAAAUGACAAAGUCUAAAGUAUAUGCCAUCAUGGCAGAUCAGGAAAGGAAUGAAAAGGCAGAGCAGUUAGCUGUUUGUGUCAGGUACGUGUCAGAGGGGCAGUGAAGGUUGCCUUGCACUUGCAGAGAUAAAAUCAUUUGAUGCCCAGUCCAUUGCAAAUGAGAUUCAGCAGCAGAUCCAAAACAAUGGUCUUGCAGAGCUUAAGUGUGUUUGUGCACAAACAUAUGAUGGUGCAGCCGUUAUGAGUGGUUCCACUGGAAGUGUACAAGCACAUUUUAGAAGGCUCCAUCCUGAGGCUGUCUAUGUGCAUUUUUAUACUCAUCAGCUCAACCUGGUUUUGUGCAAUACUUGCAAGGCUGUCCCAGAGGCUGUGGAGCUUUUCAGCUUGUUGGAGUGUGUGUAUUCUUUCUUCAGCACCUCCCUAGUCAAUCAUCAUAAGUUCAUGGAGACUCAGGCAAAGCUUGGAUUGACAAAAACUGAGCUUGUGCACCUUUCAAACACUCACUGGCCAUGUCAGUUGCAAUCAAUCAGUGCAGUUCUUGCGACAUUGCCUGUCAUUUUGGAGUGCCUAUCUGCAAUUGGAUCCCCCAUAGCUGUCGGUCUCAGAGCAAAGCUCUACAAGUUCUCAGCAGUCUAUGCACUACUGAUGUUUCAGUUGAUUCUUUCUGUAACCAAAGGACUCCACAAGUUCCUGCAGAAAGAGACUUUAGACCUAGCAGAAGCUUUUAUCUGCAAACAAGCUGUGUGUGACACACUUAAGGGCAAACACUCAGAUGCAUUUGGCUGCGUCAAACAAUGGGUCAGAAAAGACUUCACAGACUUGCAGUCAUGUCUAUUGAAAAAGACACUCUACAGCGUCUGAGUCACAACAUAGUGAUUGACCGAGUUGCCACUCUUAAAAACAGACGUCAUUCUUUGAUGCUUCCACCCACCAAGUAACUGGUGUAUGCAGCCAUAAAAAUUAUGUAUUUUUUUAUUUUAAGUUUUUUUCUUGUUAUUGAUGCAGCAAACACAUCUCCUCUGUUUUCUUGUUGUACUGUAUUAUAAAACAGAUGGAAAUAAAACAAUAGAUCAAUUGGUGGCCUAGGAUGUUUAAUCGGUCCAAAAAAGUAGUAAAGCAAUUUCUCAGUCUUUUUCUGUUUGUGAAAUUUUGUGCUCAUUCACUACAUUCGUUCAUAUCAUGUGCAUCUCUUGGGGGCUAAGCCCCCCCUGUCCUUAAAUCCUAGUGACGCCCCUGGUAUAAAUAAGUAUUUGUACAUUACUGGCAGUAAUAAAUGGUGGUUAGCACUGUUGCCUCAUAGCAACAAGGUCCUGAGUUCAAUGCCACCACCAGGGUCUUUCUGUGGGGAGUUUGCAUGGGUUCUCACCCACAGUACAAAGACAUACAGGCUGUAUCCCAAUUCAGGGUCUACUGUUACUGUUACUUUUUUUUUUUUCUU
Oreochromis niloticus (Nile tilapia) is the source of this 2373-nucleotide long non-coding RNA. RefSeq lists it as uncharacterized. The record is from RefSeq and is a predicted model, not a curated record. NCBI's taxonomy places the organism in Eukaryota, Metazoa, Chordata, Actinopteri, Cichliformes, Cichlidae. The transcript has 3 exons.